CGAGCUGCUACGGCAGCGAAGUGGGUGACGUCAAGCUUCCAAGAAAAGCCCUAUACCCGUUAAGGCAUGACGGCCUGUACCCGAAACCGACACAGGUGGGGUGGUAGAGAAUACCGAGGGGCGCGAGAUAACUCUCUCUAAGGAACUCGGCAAAAUGGCCCCGUAACUUCGGGAGAAGGGGUGCCACCGCAAGGUGGUCGCAGUGAAGAGGCCCAGGCGACUGUUUACCAAAAACACAGGUCUCCGCUAAGUCGCAAGACGAUGUAUGGGGGCUGACGCCUGCCCAGUGCCGGAAGGUUAAGGAAGCUGGUCAGCGCAAGCGAAGCUAGCGACUGAAGCCCCGGUGAACGGCGGCCGUAACUAUAACGGUCCUAAGGUAGCGAAAUUCCUUGUCGGGUAAGUUCCGACCCGCACGAAAGGCGUAACGAUCUGGGCGCUGUCUCGGAGAGAGGCUCGGCGAAAUAGAAUUGUCUGUGAAGAUGCGGACUACGUGCACCCGGACAGAAAGACCCUAUGAAGCUUUACUGUAGCUUGGUAUUGUGCCCGGGCUCUGAAUGCGCAGGAUAGGUGGGAGGCUUUGAUCCAUUGCUUGUGGGUAGUGGUGAGCCAACGGUGAGAUACCACUCUUUCAGAGCUAGGGUUCUAACCCUCACCCGUUAUCCGGGGAGGGGACAGUAUCAGGUGGGCAGUUUGACUGGGGCGGUCGCCUCCUAAAAGGUAACGGAGGCGCGCAAAGGUUUGCUCAGGCUGGUUGGAAAUCAGCCGACGAGUGUAAAAGCAGAAGCAAGCUUGACUGUGAGACCAACAAGUCGAUCAGGGACGAAAGUCGGCUUUAGUGAUCCGACGGUUCUGAGUGGAAGGGCCGUCGCUCAACGGAUAAAAGUUACUCUAGGAUAACAGGCUGAUCUCCCCCAAGAGUUCACAUCGACGGGGAGGUUUGGCACCUCGAUGUCGGCUCAUCGCAACCUGGGGCUGAAGUCGGUCCCAAGGGUUGGGCUGUUCGCCCAUUAAAGCGGUACGCGAGCUGGGUUCAGAACGUCGUGAGACAGUUCGGUCCAUAUCCGGUGCAUGCGUAAGAACAUUGACAGGAGUUCUCCCUGGUACGAGAGGACCGGGAGGAACGCACCUCUGGUGUACCAGUUAUCGUGCCAACGGUAAACGCUGGGUAGCCAUGUGCGGAGAGGAUAACCGCUGAAAGCAUCUAAGUGGGAAGCCCACCUGAAGAUGAGUGUUCUCAUGGCUUAAGCCAGUAAGGUCACGGGAAGAACACCCGUUGAUAGGCUCUACGUGGAAGCGCAGCAAUGCGUGAAGCGGAGGAGUACUAAUAGACCGAGGGCUUGACC
RNAcentral lists this ribosomal RNA (1343 nucleotides) under metagenome. RNAcentral describes it as "bacterial LSU rRNA". It matches the Rfam family "Bacterial large subunit ribosomal RNA", at positions 1570 to 2925 of the family's 2925-position model. The record is from RNAcentral.